AUUGAACGCUAGCGGGAUGCUUUACACAUGCAAGUCGAACGGCAGCGCGGACUUCGGUCUGGCGGCGAGUGGCGAACGGGUGAGUAAUGUAUCGGAACGUGCCCAGUAGCGGGGGAUAACUACGCGAAAGCGUAGCUAAUACCGCAUACGCCCUACGGGGGAAAGCAGGGGAUCGUAAGACCUUGCACUAUUGGAGCGGCCGAUAUCGGAUUAGCUAGGUGGUGAGGUAACGGCUCACCAAGGCGACGAUCCGUAGCUGGUUUGAGAGGACGACCAGGCACACUCGGACUGUGACACGGCCCAGGCUCCUACGGGUGGCAACAGUAGGGAAUUUUUGACAAAGGGGGCAACCCUGAUCCAGCCAUCCCGCGUGUGCGAUGAAGGCCUUCGGGUUGUAAAGCACUUUUGGCAGGAAAGAAACGUCGCGGGCUAAUACCCCGUGGAACUGACGGUACCUGCAGAAUAAGCACCGGCUAACUACGUG
RNAcentral lists this ribosomal RNA (484 nucleotides) under uncultured bacterium. RNAcentral's name for it is "partial 16S ribosomal RNA". It matches the Rfam family "Bacterial small subunit ribosomal RNA", at positions 30 to 507 of the family's 1533-position model. The record is from RNAcentral.